RNAcentral lists this long non-coding RNA (607 nucleotides) under Mytilus galloprovincialis (Mediterranean mussel). Lineage: Eukaryota; Metazoa; Mollusca; Bivalvia; Mytilida; Mytilidae. The record is from RNAcentral.
GUUGUUUCUCUUUUGUUUCUUUUUUGAGUCACUGUCCUAUUAUAAACUUUGACCUUUUCGAAAAGCUAAGGAUUGUCUACCAAAGGAAUAGAUUCCUUAACUUUGUAAUGUAUUUAGCCUUUUAACUUUUUUAAUUCGAGCGUCACUGAUGCUUUUUUUGUAUCUACUGAAUUCGUGUCUGGCGUGCAUCAUUUUAAUUCUGGUAUCUUUUUAUAUCUACAUACCUUUUUAUAUAAAUUGGUUAUUUUGAAAGUGUGUACAGGUAUUCAUAAACUUCUGAAUUAAGAAAUUCUUCGGCAAAACUAAGUUUCCCUGUAGAAUGUUUGAAUUGAUUUAAGUAAAAUCAGGAAAUCCUUAAAACUUCAGAUGUUUUAUUGGACCAAAAUAAGUCUCUUCAUAAGAGGUCCCAAUCAAUUGCAUGCCACAGGUUUCACCGCAUACAACAUCUACCAUGAGUAAAGACAGCUUCAAAUACGAGUUGAGAAUAUAAAGGCAUUCAUGUAGGAAACAAAAUAUAAAGAUAUGAUAGAUAAAAUAAAUGCAUCCAGAAUUCCACAUUAUAAAGCAAACUGAGUAGGUUUGUGCAAUUUGCAUAAGUCAUCCGAUU